AAGUCGUAACAAGGUCUCCGUUGGUGAACCAGCGGAGGGAUCAUUACCGAGUUUACAACUCCCAAACCCAAUGUGAACGUUACCAAACUGUUGCCUCGGCGGGGUCACGCCCCGGGUGCGUCGCAGCCCCGGAACCAGGCGCCCGCCGGAGGAACCAACCAAACUCUUUCUGUAGUCCCCUCGCGGACGUAUUUCUUACAGCUCUGAGCAAAAAUUCAAAAUGAAUCAAAACUUUCAACAACGGAUCUCUUGGUUCUGGCAUCGAUGAAGAACGCAGCGAAAUGCGAUAAGUAAUGUGAAUUGCAGAAUUCAGUGAAUCAUCGAAUCUUUGAACGCACAUUGCGCCCGCCAGUAUUCUGGCGGGCAUGCCUGUCCGAGCGUCAUUUCAACCCUCGAACCCCUCCGGGGGAUCGGCGUUGGGGAUCGGGACCCCUCACACGGGUGCCGGCCCCUAAAUACAGUGGCGGUCUCGCCGCAGCCUCUCCUGCGCAGUAGUUUGCACAACUCGCACCGGGAGCGCGGCGCGUCCACGUCCGUAAAACACCCAACUUUCUGAAAUGUUGACCUCGGAUCAGGUAGGAAUACCCGCUGAACUUAA
RNAcentral lists this ribosomal RNA (598 nucleotides) under Trichoderma asperellum. RNAcentral describes it as "eukaryotic LSU rRNA". The stretch from base 230 to 383 matches the Rfam family "5.8S ribosomal RNA". Lineage: Eukaryota; Fungi; Ascomycota; Sordariomycetes; Hypocreales; Hypocreaceae. The record is from RNAcentral.